This 872-nucleotide small RNA is filed under the name Pan troglodytes (chimpanzee). RNAcentral's name for it is "retained intron". Lineage: Eukaryota; Metazoa; Chordata; Mammalia; Primates; Hominidae. The record is from RNAcentral.
CCGCGACGCCGCGCUGGUUGGUGCUCCUGCGCCGGAGGAGUUCUGCGUCUCGGGGUGGUGACUGGGUCCAGAAUGGCUUCGGAUUCGGGGAACCAGGGGACCCUCUGCACGUUGGAGUUCGCGGUGCAGAUGACCUGUCAGAGCUGUGUGGACGCGGUGCGCAAAUCCCUGCAAGGGGUGGCAGGUGUCCCGGAUGUGGAGGUGCACUUGGAGGACCAGAUGGUCUUGGUACACACCACUCUGCCCAGCCAGGAGGUGCAGGCUCUCCUGGAAGGCACGGGGCGGCAGGCGGUACUCAAGGGCAUGGGCAGCGGCCAGUUGCGUGAGUGACCACUGUGGCCUUGGCCCCUCUGGGAGGGAGGUGGCUCAGAGCUGGUACAAAUCUAAUCAUAGGAUUCUCGGGCUCUGGGUUGGAGUGGCUUUGAGGAAGGUGUGAAAAUUAUGUGAGACUCCCUGCCCUUCCCGAGCUGCUGAAGAGGUGUGCUGGGUGAGGUGGCAAGCCAGCCCAAGUGUCUAAUACCUUGCAGAAAAUCUGGGGGCAGCAGUGGCCAUCCUGGGGGGGUCUGGCACCGUGCAGGGGGUGGUGCGCUUCCUGCAGCUGACCCCUGAGCGCUGCCUCAUCGAGGGAACUAUUGAUGGCCUGGAGCCUGGGCUGCAUGGACUCCACGUCCAUCAGUACGGGGACCUUACAAACAACUGCAACAGGUGAGUUGUCUGAAGUCUCCCCAGUAGCAUUCUCAGCUACACAUUUUCACACUUGGCCCUCACCAAUACUCUGUGAGGCACAUACACACAGGCACAACCUCCAGAUGAGGAAACUGAGGCUCACAGAGGUUAAAUGACUUGCCAAAGGUCCAGAGCAGGUAAAAGGU